UUUUUUCAGCAGAUGGUUAAAGACUCUCAUAACCACAAAUUUUUAAGUAAACCGGGCAAAGACAUGAUUCCAUCCUUACAAAGUUUACCAUUUUUGUGUCACUGGUCUCUUUAAGAUACCUAGUUUGAGGGCUUUUUGGUGGAUUAACAAUCAUAGGGAUUAGCCUAAAAUAUUUGCAAAAUUCAUUUAUGACUUUUCAAUUCUUACCCUGGAGAAUUAAAAUAAAACUAUAAAGUAGCACACCUCUCAGAGAAAGCAUAAGAUCAAAAGAAACUUGAUCUCCACCAGAGGAUGCUAACGUGUAGAAAGCAAAUUUUUUCCUCUGUCCAAGAAGCAAUUGAACUGCUACUGAAAGAAAAAUGCCAUAGAGUUGCAAAGAAUUUACCAAAUGUGGUCAGAUAUAAAUGUUAAGUUUCCUCUUUCACUCCCUAUCCAUUUCAACUGUACCUAUUGACCAAUAGCCAUUAUUAAAAAAAGAAAAAACCCAACCAAACCAAAAAAAAAUGCAUAGUGCAAGGCUCAUGUUCAACUGUUUAGAUUUGGGGUUCUGAUAGGAGACAUUUUUAUGAACACACACACAAGAUAAAAAUCAACAAAAGUGGCCUUGGAAAAAAAAAUACGCAGGGACGGGAAUGAGAUUAAGCCACCCAAACAUUACAGCAAGUGUUUAACAAAGGAGAGAGCACAAUGGCCAUUCCUUACUUUCUAAAGAUCUUAUGGCAUCUCUUU
Molecule: long non-coding RNA, 729 nt
Filed under: Bos taurus (domestic cattle)
Lineage: Eukaryota; Metazoa; Chordata; Mammalia; Artiodactyla; Bovidae
Description: long non-coding RNA NONBTAT026291
Source: RNAcentral